GGGAGCCGUAUGACGCGAGAGUGUCACGUACGGUUCUGCGAGAGGCUCGGGGUGGGACUCCCCGGGCCUACUCACC
Molecule: non-coding RNA, 76 nt
Organism: Burkholderia sp.
Lineage: Bacteria; Pseudomonadati; Pseudomonadota; Betaproteobacteria; Burkholderiales; Burkholderiaceae
Source: Rfam